Molecule: ribosomal RNA, 500 nt
Filed under: Vibrio harveyi
Lineage: Bacteria; Pseudomonadati; Pseudomonadota; Gammaproteobacteria; Vibrionales; Vibrionaceae
Description: bacterial SSU rRNA
Rfam family: Bacterial small subunit ribosomal RNA
Source: RNAcentral
GGCGGACGGGUGAGUAAUGCCUGGGAAAUUGCCCUGAUGUGGGGGAUAACCAUUGGAAACGAUGGCUAAUACCGCAUAAUGCCUUCGGGCCAAAGAGGGGGACCUUCGGGCCUCUCGCGUCAGGAUAUGCCCAGGUGGGAUUAGCUAGUUGGUGAGGUAAUGGCUCACCAAGGCGACGAUCCCUAGCUGGUCUGAGAGGAUGAUCAGCCACACUGGAACUGAGACACGGUCCAGACUCCUACGGGAGGCAGCAGUGGGGAAUAUUGCACAAUGGGCGCAAGCCUGAUGCAGCCAUGCCGCGUGUAUGAAGAAGGCCUUCGGGUUGUAAAGUACUUUCAGUCGUGAGGAAGGUUCAUGCGUUAAUAGCGUAUGGAUUUGACGUUAGCGACAGAAGAAGCACCGGCUAACUCCGUGCCAGCAGCCGCGGUAAUACGGAGGGUGCGAGCGUUAAUCGGAAUUACUGGGCGUAAAGCGCAUGCAGGUGGUUCGUUAAGUCAGAU